CAGCCUGGGCGACAGAGUGAGACUCUCUCUCAGAAAAAAAAAAAAAAAAAAAAAAAAAACCUUGAAAAAAGAUAGUGUGGUGGCCAGGCACAGUGGCUCAUGCCUAUAAUCCCAGCAUUUUGUGAGGCUGAGGUGGGCAGAUUACCAGAGGUCAGGAGUUUGAGACCAGCCUGGCCAACACGGUGAAAUCCCAUCUCUAACAAAAAUAGAAAAAUUAGCCAGGCAUGGUGGUGCAUGCCUAUAGUCCCAGCUACUAGGGAGGCUAAGGCGGGAGGGUGGCUUGAACCUGGAAGGUGGAGGUUGCAGUGAGCCAAGAUUGCACCAUUACACUCCAGGCUGGGUAAGAGUGAGACUCCAUCUCAAAAAAAAAAAAAAAAAAAAAUAGUGUAGUAUUGGCAAAAGAAUAGACAAACAGAUUAAUGGAACAGAAUAAAGAACCCAGGAGAGACCCACAUUAAUACAGUCAACUGGUCUCUGACAAAGGAGUAAAAGCAAUACAAUGGAACAAAGAUAGAAAGACUCUUUUCAAGAGAUUAUGUUGGAACAACUGAACAUCCACAUGCAAAAACAUGAAUCUACACAUAGACCUUACACCCUUCACAAAAAUGAACUCAAAAUGGAUCAUAGACCUAAAUGUAAAAUGCAAAACUGUAAAACUUCUAGUAGAUAACAUAGGAGAAAAUCUAGAUGAUAUUGGAUUGGUGAUGACUUUUUAAAUACAACAGUAAAGGCAGGAUCCAUUUAAAAAAUUGACAAAGAGCUGGGCUUCAUUAAAUUUAAAAAGCUCUGCUUUGUGAAAGACACUGUCAAGAGAAUGAGAAGACAAGCCACAGACUGGGAGAAAAUAUUUGCAAAAGGUAUAUCUGAUAAAGAGCUGUUAUCCAAAAUACACAAAGAACUCUUAAAACUCAACAAAAAGAAAUCACCCAAACAAGUUGCCUGUUUUAAAAUGGGCAAAAGACUUGAACAGACACCUCACUAAAGAUUUACAGAUGGCAAGUAAGCAUAGGAAAGAUACUCUACGUCAUGUUAUUAGGGAACUGCAAAUUAAAACAAGAUUUCACUACAUACCUAUUAGAAUGGCCAAAAGCCAGCCGGGUGCAGAGGCUCAUGCCUGUAAUCCCAGCACUCUGGGAGGCUGAAGCAGGCAGAUGACUUCAGGUCAGGAGUUUGAGACCAGCCUGGCCAAUAUGGUGAAACCCUCUCUCUUCUAAAAAUACAAAAAUCAGCCAGGCGCGGUGGCGUGUGCCUGUAGUCCCAGCUAUUCAGGAGGCUGAGGCAGAAGAAUGGUUUGAACCCGGGAGGCGGAGGUCGCAGUGAGUGGAGAUUGUGCCACUGCACUCCAGCCUGGAUGACAGAGCGAGACUCUGUCUCAGAAAAAAAAAAAAAAAAAUCAGCCAGGCGUGGUGGCACACGCCUGUAAUCCCAGCUACUCGGGAAGCUGAGGCAGGAGAAUUGCUUGAACCUGGGCAGUCAAGGUUGCAGUGAGGCGAGAUAGUGCCACUGCACUCCAGUCUGGAUGACAAAGGACACUCCGUCUCAGGAAAAAAAAAAAAAAAAAGAAUGGGCCAAAACCAAAACAGUGACGAAACCAAAUGUUUCAGAGGAUGUAGAGCAACAGAAACCCUCAUUAACUGCCAACAGGAAUGCAAAAUGGUACAGCCACUUUUGAAGACAGUUUGGCAGUUUCUUACAAAAUGAAACAUACUCUUACCACAGAAUCCAGGACUCAUAUUCCUUGGUAUUUAUGAGUAUUUAUACUCCCAAAGGAGUUGAAAACUUAUGUUCACACAAAAACCUGUACACAAAUGUUUGUAGCAGUUGUAUUCAUAAUUGCCAAAACUUGGAAGCAACCAAGAUGUCCUUCAGUAGGUGAACAGAUAAUGUACAUCCACAUAAUGGAAUACUAUUCAGCAGUACUUCCAAAAUGAGCUGUCAAGCUCAUGAUUCAGCCAUGAAAAGACUUGAAGGAAUCUUAAAUGUACAUUACUAAGUGAAGGAAGUCAAUCUGAAAAGGCUACAUAUACAGUAUGAAUCUAACUACACAACAUUCUGGAAAAGGCAAAACUAUGGAAGCAGUAAAAGGAUCAAUGGUUGCUAGGGGUUGAGGGGAGGGAAGAAUGAACAGGUGCAGCAGAGGACUGUUCGGGCAGGGAAACUCUUCUGUAUGAUACUAUAAUGGUAGAUGCAUGUCACUGAAAAUACAUCCAAACCUAUAGAAUGUACCACCCCAAGAGUGAACCCUAAUGUAAACUAUGGACUCUGGUGAUAGUGACGUGUCAAUGAAGGUCCAUCAGUUGUAACAAAUGACCACUCUGGUGCCCAGUGUUGGUGAUAAGGGAGGCUGUGCAUGUGUGGGGACAGGGAGUAAAUGAGAACUCUCUGUACCCUCUGCUCAGUUUUACUGUGAACCUAAAAUUGCACUAAACAAAUAAAGUAUAUUUAAGAAAACGGUCACGGCCACUUGAAUUGCAGUAAUAAACAUACAGAGACUUGGUUAACGGGUCACAGAGUAUUGAAUCUGACAAACACGGUUAACUGCAUUACAAUAAAAUAUAGGAAUAAUUGUUUAAAAGAAAAGAUUGAGGCCAGGCAUGGUGGCUCACACCUGUAAUCUCAGCACUUUGGGAGGCCAAUAUGGGUGGAUCACCUGAGGUAAGGAGUUCGAGACCAGCCUGGCCAACACGGUGAAACCCUGUCUCUACUAAAGAUACAAAAAUUAGCCAGGCAUGGUGGCACAUGCUUGUAAUCCCAGCUACUUGGGAGGCUGAGGCGGUAGAAUUGCUUGAACCCAGGAGGCAGAGGUUGCAGUGAGCCAAGAUUGCACCACUGCACUCCAGCCUGAGCAACAGAGUGAGACUCCAUCUCAAAAAAAAAAAAAAAAGAAAAAGAAAAGAAAACAUUGAGCCCUGGGGGGAUGCUGGACAGUGCGCAGCACCACAGGGCUAGAAAAAAACACCCUGCCCUAAAGGAGACAAGAUGAUCCAAUCCCAUCCCAGGGCUCACAUACAUGCAGUGUAUGUGACCCAAUCAGUGACCCACAUACAUGCAGGCCAGUUCCUGCCUUAAAACCUGUGACUUCAUGCCAGUCAGUCGUGGUGGCUCACGCCUAUAAUCCCGGUACUUUGAGAGGCCACGGCGGGCGGAUCACAAGGUCAGGAGAUGUAGACCAACCUGGCUAACACGGUGAAACCCCGUCUCUACUAAAAAUAGAAAAACUUAACCGGACGUGGUGGCAGGCACCUGUAGUCCCAGCUACUUGGGAGGCUGAGACAGAAUGGCGUGAAUCUGGGAGGCGGAGCUUGCAAUGAGCCGAGAUUGCGCCACUGCACUCCAGCCUGGGCAACAAAGAGAAACUCCGCCUAAAACAAAACAAAACAAAACCUGUGACUUCUUCCUCCUUCCAGGUAAGCUCUCUUCUCUGGGCUCUACUGCCCUCCUGUCAUCAUCUGUUGUCCCAGGAGUGUUUGUGGAGGUACACUGGUAACACUACUAGCUGCUCAAAGUCUCUAGUUCUCUCAAGAAGCUGAGGGAUUCAACAUGGUGCAGGCAGGCCCAGCUCCACAUUGCCUGAAGGCUUUUUCUCAGGGGCAGAAAGAGCCAGGGAAUGUAUGCACCCUGGGAUCAACCUGUAACCACUGACUAAAGGCAGUAGGCAAACACCCACAGCCGCCACCUCUCAGGUGAGGUAAUUCAGAGGCAACUGCUGUGUGCAGCCCCCUAGAG
RNAcentral lists this long non-coding RNA (3726 nucleotides) under Homo sapiens (human). RNAcentral's name for it is "HSALNT0263641". Lineage: Eukaryota; Metazoa; Chordata; Mammalia; Primates; Hominidae. The record is from RNAcentral.